AUCCUGAACGGAGCACUGCCGCGUGAGAUGUAGAAGGUCUUACGGAUCGUGAACUUCUGUUUGUUAGAGAAGAAACGUGUGAGAGUAACUGUUCAUUCCAUGACCGUAUCUAACCGCCAAGUCACGGCUAAUAACGUGCCAGCAGCCGCGGUAAU
Molecule: ribosomal RNA, 155 nt
Filed under: uncultured bacterium
Lineage: Bacteria
Description: partial 16S ribosomal RNA
Rfam family: Bacterial small subunit ribosomal RNA
Source: RNAcentral